RNAcentral lists this ribosomal RNA (506 nucleotides) under uncultured bacterium. RNAcentral describes it as "partial 16S ribosomal RNA". It matches the Rfam family "Bacterial small subunit ribosomal RNA", at positions 29 to 523 of the family's 1533-position model. The record is from RNAcentral.
AUUGAACGCUGGCGGCAGGCCUAACACAUGCAAGUCGGACGGUAGCACAGAGGAGCUUGCUCCUUGGGUGACGAGUGGCGGACGGGUGAGUAAUGUCUGGGGAUCUGCCCGAUAGAGGGGGAUAACCACUGGAAACGGUGGCUAAUACCGCAUAACGUCGCAAGACCAAAGAGGGGGACCUUCGGGCCUCUCACUAUCGGAUGAACCCAGAUGGGAUUAGCUAGUAGGCGGGGUAAUGGCCCACCUAGGCGACGAUCCCUAGCUGGUCUGAGAGGAUGACCAGCCACACUGGAACUGAGACACGGUCCAGACUCCGACGGGAGGCAGCAGUGGGGAAUAUUGCACAAUGGGCGCAAGCCUGAUACAGCCAUGCCGCGUGUAUGAAGAAGGCCUUCGGGUUGUAAAGUACUUUCAGCGGGGAGGAAGGCGGUGAGGUUAAUAACCUCGCCGAUUGACGUUACCCGCAGAAGAAGCACCGGCUAACUCCGUGCCAGCCGCCGCCGUAA